RNAcentral lists this ribosomal RNA (410 nucleotides) under uncultured microorganism. Its description in RNAcentral is "bacterial SSU rRNA". It matches the Rfam family "Bacterial small subunit ribosomal RNA", at positions 509 to 917 of the family's 1533-position model. The record is from RNAcentral.
CAGCCGCCGCGGUAAUACGUAGGGGGCGAGCGUUGUCCGGAAUUAUUGGGCGUAAAGCGCGCGCAGGCGGUCCUUUAAGUCUGAUGUGAAAGCCCACGGCUCAACCGUGGAGGGCCAUUGGAAACUGGGGGACUUGAGUGCAGGAGAGGAGAGCGGAAUUCCACGUGUAGCGGUGAAAUGCGUAGAGAUGUGGAGGAACACCAGUGGCGAAGGCGGCUCUCUGGCCUGUAACUGACGCUGAGGCGCGAAAGCGUGGGGAGCAAACAGGAUUAGAUACCCUGGUAGUCCACGCCGUAAACGAUGAGUGCUAAGUGUUAGAGGGGUCACACCCUUUAGUGCUGCAGCUAACGCGAUAAGCACUCCGCCUGGGGAGUACGGCCGCAAGGCUGAAACUUAAAGGAAUUGGCGGG